CAGCUAAUUGAGCUUUUUCAACUUUGGGUUUACCUGGCGCUUGUUCAACUGUACGAUUAAAUGAUACAACUUCGUGAAGUUGACCAGAAUCGUGCUUCAACGAAACGAAGAAUACAACCUACAACGAGCUAGAAAAAGAA
Polistes dominula (European paper wasp) is the source of this 140-nucleotide long non-coding RNA. RefSeq lists it as uncharacterized. NCBI's taxonomy places the organism in Eukaryota, Metazoa, Arthropoda, Insecta, Hymenoptera, Vespidae. The record is from RefSeq and is a predicted model, not a curated record.